AUGAACGCUGGCGGCGUGCCUAAUACAUGCCAGUCGAGCGAACGGACGAGAAGCUUGCUUUUCUGAUGUUAGCGGCGGACGGGUGAGUAACACGUGGAUAACCUACCUAUAAGACUGGGAUAACUUCGGGAAACCGGAGCUAAUACCGGAUAAUAUUUUGAACCGCAUGGUUCAAAAGUGAAAGACGGUCUUGCUGUCACUUAUAGAUGGAUCCGCGCUGCAUUAGCUAGUUGGUAAGGUAACGGCUUACCAAGGCAACGAUGCAUAGCCGACCUGAGAGGGUGAUCGGCCACACUGGAACUGAGACACGGUCCAGACUCCUACGGGAGGCAGCAGUAGGGAAUCUUCCGCAAUGGGCGAAAGCCUGACGGAGCAACGCCGCGUGAGUGAUGAAGGUCUUCGGAUCGUAAAACUCUGUUAUUAGGGAAGAACAUAUGUGUAAGUAACUGUGCACAUCUUGACGGUACCUAAUCAGAAAGCCACGGCUAACUACGUG
Molecule: ribosomal RNA, 496 nt
Filed under: uncultured bacterium
Lineage: Bacteria
Description: partial 16S ribosomal RNA
Rfam family: Bacterial small subunit ribosomal RNA
Source: RNAcentral